This 30-nucleotide non-coding RNA is filed under the name Mus musculus (house mouse). Lineage: Eukaryota; Metazoa; Chordata; Mammalia; Rodentia; Muridae. The record is from RNAcentral.
UUCAGAGAUGAUGCUUGCUUCAGCCGUAAA